Passer domesticus (house sparrow) is the source of this 505-nucleotide long non-coding RNA. RefSeq lists it as uncharacterized. NCBI's taxonomy places the organism in Eukaryota, Metazoa, Chordata, Aves, Passeriformes, Passeridae. The record is from RefSeq and is a predicted model, not a curated record. The transcript has 4 exons.
CUUAAUUCUUUAAAGUCAUGGGAAUUUGAAUGGUACUCGGCUUAAGCCAGAUUCUUUGACUGCUGAAGGGGUUUUUUAGUAACUGAUUUUUUUUUUUUCAGCUCAAACAGCAUCACAAAUACAAAAAGUGAAAUCAGCAUGGCUAUGUUGAGUGUGCCUCCGUUCCAGGAAGAAAGCUAUUCCCUUCCAUCAGCCUAGUCUGAUUCAGCUCUGAGGAUCAACCUUUGCUACAGUUACCAGGCUGCUGUUCCAAGACACUUGUGGCUGUCCCAGAUAGUAGCUGGCUGACAGAAUUAGUGCCCUCAAGGGAAGAUGAACAAUUUCGAUUUUACAACCAUUUUUGGCUGAAGCACCAGACCAGGCUCUGUUUUCCACAACGUAAGCAUUCCAGCAGAUCUGCAUUUCAUUGCACAGAUGGUAUCUCAAAAAAAAAACUACCACAACAAAAACUAUUCAUUGUUAAUAUGUUUCUGGUGCCAAGACACACAGAAGGUUUAUAUGCCAC